This is a small nuclear RNA of Pipistrellus kuhlii (Kuhl's pipistrelle), 107 nucleotides long. Lineage: Eukaryota; Metazoa; Chordata; Mammalia; Chiroptera; Vespertilionidae. The record is from RefSeq and is a predicted model, not a curated record.
GUGCUUGCUUGGGCAGCACAUAGACUGAAAAUUAGACACUACAGAGAAGAUUACCAUGGCCCCUAUAUAAGGAUGACUCGCAAAUUUCUGAUGCAUCCUUUAUUAAA